Molecule: non-coding RNA, 27 nt
Filed under: Rattus norvegicus (Norway rat)
Lineage: Eukaryota; Metazoa; Chordata; Mammalia; Rodentia; Muridae
Source: RNAcentral
UAAUCUCGAAUGACCCUUACUUCACCC